UACGUAGGGUGCAAGCGUUAAUCGGAAUUACUGGGCGUAAAGCGUGCGCAGGCGGUUUUGUAAGCCAGAUGUGAAAUCCCCGGGCUUAACCUGGGAAUGGCAUUUGGGACUGCAAGGCUUGAGUGCGGCAGAGGAGAGUGGAAUUCCUGGUGUAGCGGUGAAAUGCGCAGAUAUCAGGAAGAACACCCGUGGCUAAGGCGGCUCUCUAGUACGGGUACUGACGCUGAGACGCGAAAGCGUGGGGAGCGAACAGG
RNAcentral lists this ribosomal RNA (254 nucleotides) under uncultured bacterium. RNAcentral describes it as "partial 16S ribosomal RNA". It matches the Rfam family "Bacterial small subunit ribosomal RNA", at positions 524 to 776 of the family's 1533-position model. The record is from RNAcentral.